AAGUCGUAACAAGGUUUCCGUAGGUGAACCUGCGGAAGGAUCAUUACUAGUUUAGGGUACUUAGUGCCCAAACUUCAACCCUUUGAUUUAAUUAAAUUGUUUCUUUGCCGAUUUCGAUCGGCAGAAGCCUUCUUAAACUCAUUUUAAAAUUGCCUCUGAAAUUUAAUAAAUAAAUAUUAUAAAACUUUCAACAACGGAUCUCUUGGUUCUG
RNAcentral lists this unclassified non-coding RNA (211 nucleotides) under Lecanorales sp. RNAcentral describes it as "partial contains small subunit ribosomal RNA, internal transcribed spacer 1, and 5.8S ribosomal RNA". The stretch from base 1 to 46 matches the Rfam family "Eukaryotic small subunit ribosomal RNA", at positions 1786 to 1831 of the family's 1831-position model. Lineage: Eukaryota; Fungi; Ascomycota; Lecanoromycetes; Lecanorales. The record is from RNAcentral.